RNAcentral lists this ribosomal RNA (253 nucleotides) under uncultured bacterium. RNAcentral's name for it is "partial 16S ribosomal RNA". It matches the Rfam family "Bacterial small subunit ribosomal RNA", at positions 524 to 776 of the family's 1533-position model. The record is from RNAcentral.
GACGGAGGAGGCAAGCGUUAUCCGGAAUUAUUGGGCGUAAAGGGUACGUAGGCGGCUGGUCAAGUCUGGGGUCAAAGGCCACAGCUCAACUGUGGGAAGGCCCUGGAAACUGACCGGCUAGAGUGAGGUAGGGGUUGCGGGAAUUCCCGGUGUAGCGGUGAAAUGCGUAGAGAUCGGGAAGAACACCUGAGGCGGAAGCGCGCAACUGGGCCUCAACUGACGCUGAGGUACGAAAGCUAGGGGAGCAAACAGG